AAACAAGGAUAGCUAUUGCAAACUCAAAGGCAAAUACUUUUAUUCAUCUCAAAGCUCUUAACUGUUUAUAUUAAUCAAUUAACUAAUUUAAAAGAGGUUCUAUCCAUUCUUAUUGCAGGUGGUUUUUAGACAAUGAGUUUCACUCACGUCAUUCUCAUCAUAGAAAUUCUACUGUAAGCAUCACAAAAUGUUAGCAGACUUGGUCAUUAAAUCAUUGUUGGUAGUACACAGUAUUUGGCUGACCACACUAAUAUUCAUUUAAGUUGCCAUAUUUUUUUAAUUACAUUUGCAUUAACGUAUUUAUAAUAAUCAUUUGAAUGAAAUUGCAUAUGUGAGACAGUGAAUGUGACUGUUAAAAGUCAUUAUUACAUAAAAUAUUUUGGUUAUAUAAAAAUCAAUCAUGGUUAUUAAAAACAGAAUAAGUAGAAUGAGUAAGAACAUCUUAUCAAUAACUGAGUGACAGAUUUCUGCACAGCACCUGAGGUUGUUCUGUUUGUGGGUUUAACAUCCCAUUUUUAUAACAGUUUUUAUAACAGUUAGUCAAGCUUCUAGAACCUUCAAUAAAACUAUUUGACAGGAAAAUUCACAAAACUUACUUUGCUUAUUUGGUUACAUACCAGCUAAUCUGAUUGGUUGAACCAUGUUCAUGGAGAUGUCAAUGCUUUAUAUGGCAACACAGUUAAUUUUUUUCUCGUUGGUUUUGCUUUUUAUGUCAGUAUAGUCAGGCCAUGGUCUUAAACUGGAGAAUUUGCAUCAGCUGAUUCAAAACUCAGUAAAGUUUUUGAUUCACAACCUUAUAUAUAUUAAAUGAUAAAAACAACUGCAUCGUGGAAGAACCAGUCCAGCCAAAAUUGUUAAAUCCACUUUAAGUUCAUUUUAUGAGACACGAACAUUUUCAUUAUACACCUGUAACCUGGUCACUGAUAAAAUUCAUGUAUAAACUUUGGUAACAUUCAUAAUGAUCCUGUUUAUGUUUUUAUCCCAGUUUAACUCCAAAACCUGCUCCUUGGGCAUUUUUAAUACCAUUCACUUGGCUACAAGCAUUUGGAUCAGAUCACUAUUUAUCUCUCUACCAAUAUAUUCUCAUGCAUAUAUUGAUCUGUGGAAAUUGAAGCUGAAUAGCAAUCACAUCAAUCACCUCAAUCUGGAAAGGGGUAGAAAGGUCAUGCAUUAACCUCACCCCACCUAACUUACAUAAGACUAUCUUAGUGAAGGCUUAAUAAAUAGCAUACGAAGGAAAGUUGUUGACAUCAACAUUGUUAUCAUUGCUAUUACCAUCAUUGGUGUUGCCAUCAUCACCAUCACCAUUGUUGCCAUUGCUCUCAUCAUACUAACCUCCGUUUUUCCUUGCUUCCAGGUGAAGUGAUAUUUCCUCUGGACCUUUGAACACAAACGACACAAUCAAUGGCGAAACAUGUUUAAUGGCAGAUUGUUGAUAAACAACAUCACUUAUACGAUGCUUAUGCUCAUUUACUAUUAGUAAUGCAAUGUCAAGUCAAGGAGACAUGAUUCCCCAUCCCCCCACAGACACAUACAUACAC
This 1541-nucleotide long non-coding RNA is filed under the name Octopus vulgaris (common octopus). Lineage: Eukaryota; Metazoa; Mollusca; Cephalopoda; Octopoda; Octopodidae. The record is from RNAcentral.